Molecule: ribosomal RNA, 608 nt
Filed under: uncultured Actinomycetes bacterium
Lineage: Bacteria; Bacillati; Actinomycetota; Actinomycetes
Description: bacterial SSU rRNA
Rfam family: Bacterial small subunit ribosomal RNA
Source: RNAcentral
CUUGUUGGUGAGGUAGUGGCUCACCAAGGCGACGACGGGUAGCCGGCCUGAGAGGGCGACCGGCCACACUGGGACUGAGACACGGCCCAGACUCCUACGGGAGGCAGCAGUGGGGAAUAUUGCACAAUGGGCGAAAGCCUGAUGCAGCGACGCCGCGUGAGGGAUGACGGCCUUCGGGUUGUAAACCUCUUUCAGCAGGGAAGAAGCGAAAGUGACGGUACCUGCAGAAGAAGCGCCGGCUAACUACGUGCCAGCAGCCGCGGUAAUACGUAGGGCGCAAGCGUUGUCCGGAAUUAUUGGGCGUAAAGAGCUCGUAGGCGGCUUGUCACGUCGGUUGUGAAAGCCCGGGGCUUAACCCCGGGUCUGCAGUCGAUACGGGCAGGCUAGAGUUCGGUAGGGGAGAUCGGAAUUCCUGGUGUAGCGGUGAAAUGCGCAGAUAUCAGGAGGAACACCGGUGGCGAAGGCGGAUCUCUGGGCCGAUACUGACGCUGAGGAGCGAAAGCGUGGGGAGCGAACAGGAUUAGAUACCCUGGUAGUCCACGUCGUAAACGGUGGGCACUAGGUGUGGGCAACAUUCCACGUCGUCCGUGCCGCAGCUAACGCAUUAA